CCCUUAGACGUUCUGGGCCGCACGCGCGCUACACUGACCAGUGCAACAAGCAUCCGUCCUUGGCCGACAGGCUCGGGCAAUCUUUGAACGCUGGUCGUGAUGGGGAUAGACUUUUGCAAUUUUUGGUCUUCAACGAGGAAUUCCUAGUAAACGCAAGUCAUCAACUUGCAUUGAUUACGUCCCUGCCCUUUGUACACACCGCCCGUCGCACCUACCGAUUGAAUGGCCCGGUGAAGCCUCCGGAUUGGCGCGCACCUCGGUGCCGCCGAGAAGUUGGCUAAACCUUACCAUUUAGAGGAAGGUGAAGUCGUAACA
RNAcentral lists this ribosomal RNA (315 nucleotides) under uncultured eukaryote. Its description in RNAcentral is "partial 18S ribosomal RNA". It matches the Rfam family "Eukaryotic small subunit ribosomal RNA", at positions 1470 to 1796 of the family's 1831-position model. The record is from RNAcentral.